This 200-nucleotide ribosomal RNA is filed under the name uncultured prokaryote. RNAcentral's name for it is "partial 16S ribosomal RNA". It matches the Rfam family "Bacterial small subunit ribosomal RNA", at positions 1182 to 1382 of the family's 1533-position model. The record is from RNAcentral.
ACGUCAAAUCAUCAUGCCCCUUACGUCUUGGGCUACACACGUGCUACAAUGGGCGCAACAAACAGUUACUAAGUGGAGACAUGGAGUUAAUCUGAAAAAGCGUUCUCAGUUCGGAUUGUGGGCUGCAACUCGCCCACAUGAAGUCGGAGUUGCUAGUAAUCCCGGAUCAGCACGCCGGGGUGAAUGCGUUCCCGGGUCUU